GCGGGAGGCUUAACACAUGCAAGUCGAGGGGCAGCACGGGUAGCAAUACCUGGUGGCGACCGGCAGACGGGUGAGUAACGCGUAUGUAACCUACCCUGUACAGGGGGAUAACCCGGAGAAAUUCGGACUAAUAUCCCAUAGAAAUAUUGGAAGGCAUCUUUUGAUAUUUAAAGUUCCGGCGGUACGGGAUGGGCAUGCGUAACAUUAGCUAGUUGGUAAGGUAACGGCUUACCAAGGCUUUGAUGUUUAGGGGUCCUGAGAGGGUGGUCCCCCACACUGGUACUGAGACACGGACCAGACUCCUACGGGAGGCAGCAGUGAGGAAUAUUGGUCAAUGGGCGCAAGCCUGAACCAGCCAUCCCGCGUGCAGGAAGACGGCCCUAUGGGUUGUAAACUGCUUUUCCAGGGGGAGAAACUUGCGCACGUGUUGCGCAAUUGACGGUACCCUGGGAAUAAGCAUCGGCUAACUCCGUGCCAGCAGCCGCGGUAAUACGGAGGAUGCGAGCGUUAUCCGGAUUCAUUGGGUUUAAAGGGUGCGUAGGCGGACUAUUAAGUCAGUGGUGAAAUCCUGCAGCUUAACUGCAGAACUGCCAUUGAUACUGAUAGCCUUGAGUUUGGUUAAGGUAGGCGGAAUGUGUAAUGUAGCGAUGAAAUGCUUAGAUAUUACACAGAACACCAAUUGCGUAGGCAGCUUACUGAGCCGACACUGACGCUGAGGCACGAAAGCGUGGGGAUCGAACAGGAUUAGAUACCCUGGUAGUCCACGCCGUAAACGAUGAUUACUCGCUGUUGGCGAUACACUGUCAGCGGCUAAGCAAAAGCAAUAAGUAAUCCACCUGGGGAGUACGGCCGCAAGGUUGAAACUCAAAUGAAUUGACGG
Molecule: ribosomal RNA, 880 nt
Filed under: uncultured bacterium
Lineage: Bacteria
Description: bacterial SSU rRNA
Rfam family: Bacterial small subunit ribosomal RNA
Source: RNAcentral